CCCACGACCCUGGGAUCAUGACCUGAGCUGAAAUCAAGAAAGAGCUGGUGGCUCAACCGACUGAGCCACCCAGGCACCCCAAGUAGAUCCAAUUUUUCGUGGUUGAGCAUAUGUUGAGGACUCUUUUUUUCCACCUACACCUGCAGUCUUAACUCCAAGAUACUGAUCUUGACCAUGAACUUUCCCUAUCCAUGUUGUUACAGGGAUUCUGAAGGAUAUUGUGUUGCCAGUUUGCACAGGGAAUGGCUGCCCUCUGCCUCAUAAUGCAGGCACUCUGAGGCUGCAUUGAUGAACUCACUCUUCUCUCUCCUUCACAGAAACAGAAGAGGCAACUAUGAAAAGCAGCUACAACCUCUGCAUUAAGAGCACUGAUGAGGCACAAGGAAACAAGAUGGAUGGUUUAGAACUGGUCACGAGAAGAGAGGAGAAGAGAAGAGAAGAGAAGAGAAGAGAAGAGAAGAGAAGAGUGGACAAAAAUGGAAGUGGAGGAAAGUGAGGCAGAUGCUCUCUCCAGCUGGCAAAGAGAUUUUAGAAAAUGGGCUCUAAUUUAGACAGCGCAAAGGCAGGCCUUGCCUUUCGCUAUAAAAUCAAGGCCAUCAUCUGAGAGUCACAUCAAUUGAAGUUGGUCCCUCUUGAAAUACAGACCUUGUGCAGGCUAUUUUUUAUAUAAAUAUUUUUAAUUAAUAGAUGGCUUCAUCAAACAUGAGAAGGAUUAAGCAUUAACACUCACCAGAGACCCUGAAAUUAGAUUGAUUAUCUGCAUCUUAAUUUGCUUUUUCGACACCACUAAUUUAUUUUUAAUAGGUCUGUAAUUUAGCUUUAUCUAUUUCUUAUUCUGCUUGGCAGACUUAAAUGUUUGCAGCUCACCAGUCAGUCUCUGUAACCUUUAGGCACUUCUGUCUGCACAGUGUAUUAAUUUUUAAAUUAUCCAGCCCAGUGUGAGGAAGAAUAUCAAUUAAUUUCCAUAUGGGAGCCAGGCCCAAACCCAUCCUCUUCCAGUAGCAGUGAAAUUUAAAUGAAGGGGAAGGCCAGUUGUAGGGGGAACCUAGAUAAAAACAGUAAAUUCUCACUCCUGUGUUACAGAAUCUGUCACCCUUGAAAUAUUUUCCACUUGAAUCAGUGGCAUUGGCAUUAUUAUUGCAGUGAAAAUAAAUGCUCCUCUGUUGGCACCUGUUA
Long non-coding RNA from Felis catus (domestic cat), 1176 nucleotides. RefSeq lists it as uncharacterized. The transcript has 2 exons. Lineage: Eukaryota; Metazoa; Chordata; Mammalia; Carnivora; Felidae. The record is from RefSeq and is a predicted model, not a curated record.